UAGUUUUACUGUUGAAUUUCUUUUUUUGUUCACUUGAUUUUGAUUUUAUUUAUUCCCUAGUUUUGACCUAAGUUUCGAAUUUGUUGAUUAUGAGUUAUUAUAUUAUAAUCUUGUCAAUUUUAGUAAAUAUAUGUAAUUUCUCAUAUAUUUGAUGUUAUUAUUAAUAGUCAUUUAUGUAGGGGUUACUUGUUUUGUAUUUUUGUCAUGUUCAGUACUUGUUUAUGUAGGUGUCACCUAUCUAAUGGUUUUCUUAGGGUUAAUUGGUUCUUUUUAGAGUAACAUAGUUUUAGUUUGAUCUACGUUGUUGUUUUUUAUGGUUGUGGUUGGUGAUUAGAGUAACAUAGUUAAUUGUGGUUUUUUUUUUUUUUUUUUUUGGUUUGUUUAAUGAAGAUGCUAAGGAUGUGAAUGAUUUGCAUGGUUGUUCUUGCUGAUUAGAGUAAUGUAGUUGAUUGAGGUUUUUCAUUAGAUUCUAAGGAUGGAAAUAAUUUGCAACCUACUGAGGAUUAUAUUUCUGCUGAGGAUGUGAAUGCUAAGGAUGUAAAUGUUUUGCAACGUACUGAGGAUUAGAAAUUUGUUGAGGUUGCUGAGGAUGUAAAUGAUUUGCAACUUACUGAGGAUUUGAAAUAUGUUGAGGCUAUUGAGGAUGUGAAAUUUGUCAAUGCGAAGAAACGAAAAGGUCGACGUGCUGCUGAAUCUAGUCAAGAAGUUGAUGUCAAGCCUGAUGUUGAGGAUGUGAAACCUGUCAUUGCAAAGAAACGAAGAGGUCGUAAAGCUGCUGCUGGUUCUAGUCAAGUAGUUGAAGUUGUAAAAGUUGAAGGGUAAGGUGAAGAGUGGGAUGAUGAAGUUAUCAUGCGAUGCAGACAAGCUGGUGUUGUUCAAUUUUUGAAAAAAUCAACUGAAACACAAAAGACAAUUGUUACGUCUAUUAGGUUUGGUAGUUUGGCAUCAAUAAAGUUAGAAAUCUGUCUAAGGCAAAUAAUUUGCUGGCUUUGUGAACACUUUGAUGCAAAGUCUUGUUCUUUUAAGCUA
This is a long non-coding RNA of Chenopodium quinoa (quinoa), 1029 nucleotides long. RefSeq lists it as uncharacterized. The transcript has 2 exons. Lineage: Eukaryota; Viridiplantae; Streptophyta; Magnoliopsida; Caryophyllales; Amaranthaceae. The record is from RefSeq and is a predicted model, not a curated record.